This is a long non-coding RNA of Diabrotica virgifera virgifera (western corn rootworm), 939 nucleotides long. RefSeq lists it as uncharacterized. The transcript is spliced from 3 exons. The record is from RefSeq and is a predicted model, not a curated record. Lineage: Eukaryota; Metazoa; Arthropoda; Insecta; Coleoptera; Chrysomelidae.
CUAUUUAAAUACUAAAUUAGUGACUGUUUUAUAUAAAGUGAAGAAGUCCUUGAUUAUGUUUUUAUGUUACUUUUAUAUUUAGAAUUUUACUUUUAUAUUUCCCCGAUUUAAGUUGAUAUAGGCAACUCAAAUUACACGGCCUGUCAAAGUUUCCAGCACCUUGUCUGUCUCUCUCUAGGACCUCUCUCUUGUAUCGUGGCUGCAUUAAUUGUCUUCCUGCCUAUUCCAUCCGUCUUGACAGUUCAUUGGUAAAAGAUAAAUCUUAUUUUAAUGAGUUUUAGAUAAUUUUAGUUGUAUUUCUUUGUAAUUUUGUGUUGUACAAAGAUUAAUUUAACAUUUUCUCUGGAAGUAUUAAUUUAGAAAGAUAAUAUGCUUCAUUGGUGUUGUGUUUUGAAGUGUGAAAUGCAAAGUAAUUGUGAUAAAGUCAAGAUAAAGUUCACUUUUAAACUGAACUAAAUAAGGUAUCUGAGAGUCAACAAUGGUUAAAUGCAAUACAAUGUACAGGUUUUACUAGCGAAAUGAAAAUUUUCCUGUCCUGUCUGCUGUAAUCAUUUUAUAUCUGGAAAACCAGCCGACUUAAUCGAUAAUAACAAUCUCCAGAUUGGGUUCCUUCAAUAAAUAUGGUCUAUAAACACAAUGAAAUAAGUUCCCCAAAAUCUAAAAUGGAGUGGUAUCAAAGGAGAAUUAAAGGGAAAAAUAUUCAUAUUGAAAUUAUUUAUAAGGCACUGGACUGUCUUAAAUUCUACAAUACUACUAGAAUCAGCUGAGAGAAGUGGUCUACAAAAAACCAGGAAGGAAACGGAAUAUGUGGCUACGAAAGGCAAAAGAAAGGUUUACAAAGCAAAUGUGACACAUUUUUUUGAAAUAUUUAGGAAUAUCAGUAAAUUGCAUUAAAAAAAUGUAUGAAAAGAUUUUGUUCAAUAAAAAUGUUUAUAUUUA